UGCCCUAGUAACGGCGAGUGAAGCGGCAACAGCUCAAAUUUGAAAUCUGGCCCCAGGCCCGAGUUGUAAUUUGCAGAGGAUGCUUUUGGCAAAGCGCAUACCGAGUCCCCUGGAACGGGGCGCCACAGAGGGUGAGAGCCCCGUAUGGUACGACGCCGAGCCUCUGUAAAGCUCCUUCGACGAGUCGAGUAGUUUGGGAAUGCUGCUCUAAAUGGGAGGUAAAUUUCUUCUAAAGCUAAAUACCGGCCAGAGACCGAUAGCGCACAAGUAGAGUGAUCGAAAGAUGAAAAGCACUUUGAAAAGAGGGUUAAAUAGCACGUGAAAUUGUUGAAAGGGAAGCGCUCGUGACCAGACUUGCGCCGGGCGGAUCAUCCAGCGUUCUCGCUGGUGCACUCCGCCCGGCUCAGGCCAGCAUCGGUUUUCGCCGGGGGACAAAAGCUUCGGGAACGUGGCUCCCUUCGGGGAGUGUUAUAGCCCGUCGUUUAAUACCCCGGCGGGGACCGAGGACCGCGCUUCGGCAAGGAUGCUGGCGUAAUGGUCAUCAGCGACCCGUCUUGAAACACGGACCGAGGAGUCAAGCAUUAGUGCGAGUGUUUGGGUGUAAAACCCGCACGCGUAAUGAAAGUGAACGUAGGUGAGAGCUUCGGCGCAUCAUCGACCGAUCCUGAUGUUUUCGGAUGGAUUUGAGUAGGAGCAU
RNAcentral lists this ribosomal RNA (697 nucleotides) under Gaeumannomyces radicicola. Its description in RNAcentral is "partial large subunit ribosomal RNA". It matches the Rfam family "Eukaryotic large subunit ribosomal RNA", at positions 76 to 803 of the family's 3401-position model. The record is from RNAcentral. Lineage: Eukaryota; Fungi; Ascomycota; Sordariomycetes; Magnaporthales; Magnaporthaceae.